RNAcentral lists this ribosomal RNA (433 nucleotides) under uncultured bacterium. RNAcentral describes it as "partial 16S ribosomal RNA". It matches the Rfam family "Bacterial small subunit ribosomal RNA", at positions 29 to 507 of the family's 1533-position model. The record is from RNAcentral.
AACGAACGCUGGCGGCAUGCCUAACACAUGCAAGUCGAACGAGACCUUCGGGUCUAGUGGCGCACGGGUGCGUAACGCGUGGGAACCUGCACUUAGGUUCGGAAUACCUCCCCGAAAGGGGUGCUAAUACCGGAUAAUGUCUUCGGACCAAAGAUUUAUCGCCUUUGGAUGGGCCCGCGUUGGAUUAGCUAGUUGGUAGGGUAAAAGCCUACCAAGGCGACGAUCCAUAGCUGGUCUGAGAGGAUGAUCAGCCACACUGGGACUGGGACACGGCCCAGAAUCCUAGGGGAGGGGGGAGAGGGGAAUAUUGGACAAUGGGCGAAGGCCUGAACCAGCAAUGCCGCGUAAGUGAUGAAGGCCGUAGGGAUGUAAAGCUCUUUUACCCGGGAUGAUAAUGACAGUACCGGGAGAAUAAGCACCGGCUAACUCCGUG